UCUGGCGACCGGCGCACAGGUGAGUAACACGUAUCCAACCUGCCCUUUACUCGGGGAUAGCCUUUCGAAAGAAAGAUUAAUACCCGAUAGCAUAAUGAUUCCGCAUGGUUUCAUUAUUAAAGGAUUCCGGUAAAGGAUGGGGAUGCGUUCCAUUAGGUUGUUGGUGAGGUAACGGCUCACCAAGCCUUCGAUGGAUAGGGGUUCUGAGAGGAAGGUCCCCCACAUUGGAACUGAGACACGGUCCAA
This 246-nucleotide ribosomal RNA is filed under the name uncultured bacterium. RNAcentral describes it as "partial 16S ribosomal RNA". It matches the Rfam family "Bacterial small subunit ribosomal RNA", at positions 87 to 334 of the family's 1533-position model. The record is from RNAcentral.